RNAcentral lists this long non-coding RNA (390 nucleotides) under Aotus nancymaae (Ma's night monkey). Its description in RNAcentral is "lncRNA (ENSANAG00000039262.1)". The record is from RNAcentral. Lineage: Eukaryota; Metazoa; Chordata; Mammalia; Primates; Aotidae.
UUUGAAAACUGAAUUUUAAUAUAAUUAUUUUCUUUUGUAAUCUUAUGUAUUUUAUUUUAGGUAUUUCAAAACAGUCUUCUGAGGGGAUUUGUGGAUUUCAUCAGACUGCCAAAGGGGUCAUAGCACCAAAAAUACCAUUACAUGAUUAUUAUGUUUUAAGCCUCUUGAUCAGCCCUUGGAGAAGAUGGAACAAAGCUGUGUGCUCUUUGAGUUUUGGGAGACAGCUGUCAGUCUCUUUCGAAACAACCCAGGAUGCUAUACUGCUCGAGAGCAGCACUGGGGCGUGAUCUUCAGAGGUCUCUAGAGCCUAAAGUGGUCUGUGUGCCCACCCGAAUGGAGGGAGGUAAGUAAUCUUUGAAUGCACACACAAUUUGACUACGUGCUGUUGCC